GGGUUGUGAGGUUAAGCGACUAAGCGUACACGGUGGAUGCCCUGGCAGUCAGAGGCGAUGAAGGACGUGCUAAUCUGCGAUAAGCGCCGGUAAGGUGAUAUGAACCGUUAUAACCGGCGAUUUCCGAAUGGGGAAACCCAGUGUGACUCGUCACACUAUCAUUAACUGAAUCCAUAGGUUAAUGAGGCGAACCGGGGGAACUGAAACAUCUAAGUACCCCGAGGAAAAGAAAUCAACCGAGAUUCCCCCAGUAGCGGCGAGCGAACGGGGAGGAGCCCAGAGCCUGAAUCAGCAUGUGUGUUAGUGGAAGCGUCUGGAAAGGCGCGCGA
RNAcentral lists this ribosomal RNA (329 nucleotides) under Salmonella enterica. RNAcentral's name for it is "partial 23S ribosomal RNA". It matches the Rfam family "Bacterial large subunit ribosomal RNA", at positions 1 to 357 of the family's 2925-position model. Lineage: Bacteria; Pseudomonadati; Pseudomonadota; Gammaproteobacteria; Enterobacterales; Enterobacteriaceae. The record is from RNAcentral. RNAcentral also lists the same sequence under 1 other name.